GACUGCAGCCCAAAAUUUUGGAAUCAUGGUGCUUCAUGUGCAGAGACACAGCAUCUCACUCAAAGACGUACAGUGAUAUCAGAAACUACAGGACCUGAAGUACCUCCUUGCUUCUGCCUCAAUGGUGGAUUCUGCCAGGAUAGAGCCUGUGUGUGCCCCAGCGAGUGGGCAGGACCAUUUUGUGAUAUAGUGCCAAGAGGGCACAAUUCAGCUCAGUACUCCGCUCUACUGAGGGGACUGCAGUAUCCUCAGUUCCUGCUACCGCAGCCACAAGUUUUGGAUGGAUGCUGAAAGGUCUUCGGCUUAUCCAGGAAAAUAUUCUUGGUGAGGAUUGCUAGGUAGAUGGAAACUUCAGGUCUGCCAUACUACUUCCCUUGUGAUAGGCUGGGUAGAACAGCCAGCAAACAAUGACAAGUUGGACGGGUUCAUGAUGCAUUGGAACAUUUGAGCAAAAUAGUUCAGAGAAAUCGGCUGGGAUUUCAGCACUGGAAACAAGUCAUGAUGUUAAUUCUAAUUCCCCACGUCCAUUUCUCUGGGUAUUCUGUAAUUGAUUUGCUGUAAAUUGUAAAAGCUUACAGUGCCCUUCUGUCUGUUAUUCUCCCUUCCUGACUAAUUCAACUUGCCAAUGGGCUGGUCAAUCCUUCCUAGCCACUCCCAACCACCCACGACAUUUGCCUCCUCUCUAACAACUAACGAAACAAAGAUGUGUAUAUUAUGUAUUGGGAAUCAAAAGAUGAACAGUAGGACAUAAAGGUGAGGGGCUGAGGACCAAUGGAGCAUUGAGACUGUGGAAAAACAGCACAAAGGGUAUUAGGGAAGUUGGAAAGAGGAGUGGUGGGUCUGGGGAGGUGAUGAUUUAUUGCCAGAAGGAGAAAGCUGAGAACAUAGGGCAAAAAACUUUUGUAAACCAAUUAUGUUUGUCCUAAUGGAAACAUUCCUCUCGGUUCAUAUAUCAUUCCUUUUGUACAUGUCUUGACUCUUUUUGUCACAGAUCAUAUCAAAGAGUCUGGUUUUCUUCCUACUUAGUCCGUUUGCUCAUUGUUGUAUUUAGAUCUGGACCAACC
This 1064-nucleotide long non-coding RNA is filed under the name Numida meleagris (helmeted guineafowl). Its description in RNAcentral is "lncRNA (ENSNMEG00000017257.1)". The record is from RNAcentral. Lineage: Eukaryota; Metazoa; Chordata; Aves; Galliformes; Numididae.